UUGGGGGGAUAAAGCUCCUACCAAAGACAAUGGAUGCAUGGCCGGGAGUGGAAGAUCUUUUUCGGCCCCAUUGGGGACUGGAACCACGCCCCAAAUUUCCUACGGGAGGGCGGCAGUUGGGAAUUCUUCCCCCAAUGGGCGAAAAGCCUGAUGGAGCCACCGCCGCGUUGGUGAUGAAGGCUUUCGGGUCGUAAAGCACUGUUGUAUGGGAAGAACAGCUAGAAUAGGAAAUGAUUUUAGUUUGACGGUACCAUACCAGAAAGGGACGGCUAAAUACGUGCCAGCAGCCGCGGUAAUACGUAUGUCCCGAGCGUUAUCCGGAUUUAUUGGGCGUAAAGCGAGCGCAGACGGUUUAUUAAGUCUGAUGUGAAAGCCCGGAGCUCAACUCCGGAAUGGCAUUGGAAACUGGUUAACUUGAGUGCAGUAGAGGUAAGUGGAACUCCAUGUGUAGCGGUGGAAUGCGUAGAUAUAUGGAAGAACACCAGUGGCGAAGGCGGCUUACUGGACUGCAACUGACGUUGAGGCUCGAAAGUGUGGGUAGCAAACAGGAUUAGAUACCCUGGUAGUCCACACCGUAAACGAUGAACACUAGGUGUUAGGAGGUUUCCGCCUCUUAGUGCCGAAGCUAACGCAUUAAGUGUUCCGCCUGGGGAGUACGACCGCAAGGUUGAAACUCAAAGGAAUUGACGGGGACCCGCACAAGCGGUGGAGCAUGUGGUUUAAUUCGAAGCAACGCGAAGAACCUUACCAGGUCUUGACAUCCUUUGAAGCUUUUAGAGAUAGAAGUGUUCUCUUCGGAGACAAAGUGACAGGUGGUGCAUGGUCGUCGUCAGCUCGUGUCGUGAGAUGUUGGGUUAAGUCCCGCAACGAGCGCAACCCUUAUUGUUAGUUGCCAGCAUUCAGAUGGGCACUCUAGCGAGACUGCCGGUGACAAACCGGAGGAAGGCGGGGACGACGUCAGAUCAUCAUGCCCCUUAUGACCUGGGCUACACACGUGCUACAAUGGCGUAUACAACGAGUUGCCAGCCCGCGAGGGUGAGCUAAUCUCUUAAAGUACGUCUCAGUUCGGAUUGUAGUCUGCAACUCGACUACAUGAAGUCGGAAUCGCUAGUAAUCGCGGAUCAGCACGCCGCGGUGAAUACGUUCCCGGGUCUUGUACACACCGCCCGUCACACCAUGGGAGUUUGUAAUGCCCAAAGCCGGUGGCCUAACCUUUUAGGAAGGAGCCGUCUAAGCAGGACAGAUGUUGA
RNAcentral lists this ribosomal RNA (1250 nucleotides) under Leuconostoc mesenteroides. RNAcentral describes it as "bacterial SSU rRNA". It matches the Rfam family "Bacterial small subunit ribosomal RNA", at positions 249 to 1477 of the family's 1533-position model. Lineage: Bacteria; Bacillati; Bacillota; Bacilli; Lactobacillales; Lactobacillaceae. The record is from RNAcentral.